AACGAACGCUGGCGGCAUGCCUAACACAUGCAAGUCGAACGAAGGCUUCGGCCUUAGUGGCGCACGGGUGCGUAACGCGUGGGAACCUGCCCCUCGGUUCGGAAUAACAGUUAGAAAUAGACUGCUAAUACCGGAUGAUGACUUCGGUCCAAAGAUUUAUCGCCGAGGGAUGGGCCCGCGUAGGAUUAGCUAGUUGGUGGGGUAAAGGCCUACCAAGGCGACGAUCCUUAGCUGGUCUGAGAGGAUGAUCAGCCACACUGGGACUGAGACACGGCCCAGACUCCUACGGGAGGCAGCAGUGGGGAAUAUUGGACAAUGGGCGAAAGCCUGAUCCAGCAAUGCCGCGUGAGUGAUGAAGGCCUUAGGGUUGUAAAGCUCUUUUACCUAGGGAUGAUAAUGACAGUACCUGGAGAAUAAGCUCCGGCUAACUCCGUG
This 435-nucleotide ribosomal RNA is filed under the name uncultured bacterium. RNAcentral describes it as "bacterial SSU rRNA". It matches the Rfam family "Bacterial small subunit ribosomal RNA", at positions 29 to 507 of the family's 1533-position model. The record is from RNAcentral.